Molecule: ribosomal RNA, 365 nt
Filed under: uncultured bacterium
Lineage: Bacteria
Description: bacterial SSU rRNA
Source: RNAcentral
AAAGGAAACUUUAGUCGGUACUCGCGAAUGCAUCAGAUGAUGUNAUUGAUCAUGGCUCAGAAUGACCGCUGGCGUAGUGCUAUAACACAUGCAAGUCAGAGACGAGAGCCUGGGGGGCAACUCCCAGAAGAUCAGAGCGGCGAGACGGGUGAGUAACACGAUGGGUAACCUGACCCGAGAUGUGGGGAAUACCAUCGGGGAAAGCUCGAGCGUANAUACCGCGAAUGACAAUCGUCCAGAGGAACGAAAAGAUCCGAUGAGAACGAAUCAAGAGUCGAGAGGGAUCGAAAGGANUCAUCGACGGCAAGCUCUGGAAAUGGGGCCACGNAGCACCAGAGUNUAGCAUAGGUAUGGACAUGGAGGAA